RNAcentral lists this ribosomal RNA (1308 nucleotides) under Spratelloides gracilis (silver-stripe round herring). Its description in RNAcentral is "partial 16S ribosomal RNA". It matches the Rfam family "Bacterial large subunit ribosomal RNA", at positions 539 to 2568 of the family's 2925-position model. Lineage: Eukaryota; Metazoa; Chordata; Actinopteri; Clupeiformes; Clupeidae. The record is from RNAcentral.
UGAAACAGUUCGAUUACCCACGAGAAAGCAGAUGUUAGUCCUCGUACCUUUUGCAUCAUGCUCUAGCCAGCAAAAUUCGAGCAAAGUGCCCUCUAGUUCGCAACCCCGAAACCCGACGAGCUACCUCGGGACAGUUUUAUAGAACCAACCCACUCCUGUGGCAAAAGGAGGGGACGAUCCCCAGGUAGAGGUGAAAGGCCUACCGAGUCCGGUUAUAGCUGGUUGCUUGAGAGAUGAAUAGAAGUUCAGCCUCGCAAACCCUCCGGCCAAAACAGUACCCCUUAAACUAGGCAAAGAGUUUAACAUGCGAGAGUUAGUCUAGAGAGGUACAGCUCUCUUGACCUUGGAAACAACCCCCACGGGAGACUAAGGAAUAUAAUUACCAAAGGUGAAGGGUUUAGGUGGGCCUAAAAGCAGCCACCCCAAUAGAAAGCGUUACAGCUCAGACCCUAUAAUGCCUAAUAUACCAUUAACUGAUCCGCCCUCCCCAAAAGUAUCGAGCCCUCCUAUGCCAUCAUAGGAUAAGACCCUGCUAGAACGAGUAACAAGAAGAAUGAGCUUCUCCCCACGCCCGUGUACCCCGGAACGGACCAGCCGCCGGCAAUUAACGAACCCAACGCAAGAGGGAAGCGUAUCUAAGCCAGACAGCAGCCAAGAAAAAGGUACGCCAGAUAUCGUUGACCCCACACAGGAGUGUGUCCAGGAAAGAUCGUAUGGAGGAAAAGGAACUCGGCAAGCACAAACCCCGCCUGUUUACCAAAAACAUCGCCUUCUGUUAUAUAACUAUAGGAGGUCCCGCCUGCCCUGUGACUAGAAGUUUAACGGCCGCGGUAUUUUAACCGUGCAAAGGUAGCGCAAUCAAUUGUCUUUUAAAUGAAGACCUGUAUGAAUGGCAUCACGAGGGUUUAACUGUCUCUUUCUCCCGAUCAGUGAAACUGAUCUGCCCGUGCAGAAGCGGGCAUAACCCCACAAGACGAGAAGACCCUAUGGAGCUUUAGGCUUUUUACCAGCUGCAAGAAGCGCGCACACAGCCUGCGUUCACCCUCCGCAAUAUUGGAUUAAAUGCCUUCGGUUGGGGCGACCACGGGAGAUAGAGAAGCUCCCGAGUGGAUUGGGGGAAACUCCAGAGCUCAGAGGAACCCCUCUAAGCAACAGAAAAUCUGACCUUCAAUGAUCCGGCCAAGGCCGAUCAACGGACCAAGUUACCCUAGGGAUAACAGCGCAAUCCCCUCCCAGAGUCCAUAUCGACGAGGGGGUUUACGACCUCGAUGUUGGAUCAGGACAUCCUAAUGGUGCAGACGCUAUUAA